GUGGGGAAUAUUGGGCAAUGGGGGAAACCCUGACCCAGCGACGCCGCGUGAGGGAAGACGGCCUUCGGGUUGUAAACCUCUUUUGUACGGGAAGAAGGAAGUGACGGUACUGUACGAAUAAGUCCCGGCUAACUACGUGCCAGCAGCCGCGGUAAUACGUAGGGGACGAGCGUUGUCCGGAAUUACUGGGCGUAAAGGGCGCGCAGGCUGUGCUGCAAGUCAGCUGUGAAAUGUCUGGGCUUAACCCGGGCAUGCGGUUGAGACUGCAGUGCUGGAGUGCUGUAGAGGCAAGUGGAAUUCCCAGUGUAGCGGUGAAAUGCGUAGAUAUUGGGAAGAACACCGGUGGCGAAGGCGACUUGCUGGGCAGCAACUGACGCUGAGGCGCGAAAGCCAGGGUAGCGAACGGGAUUAGAUACCCCAGUAGUCC
This 427-nucleotide ribosomal RNA is filed under the name uncultured bacterium. Its description in RNAcentral is "partial 16S ribosomal RNA". It matches the Rfam family "Bacterial small subunit ribosomal RNA", at positions 354 to 796 of the family's 1533-position model. The record is from RNAcentral.